Molecule: non-coding RNA, 559 nt
Organism: Delphinapterus leucas (beluga whale)
Lineage: Eukaryota; Metazoa; Chordata; Mammalia; Artiodactyla; Monodontidae
Source: RefSeq, a predicted model, not a curated record
CAACCAUCCGCAAGAGGCUAAGCGACGACUAGUUUUAACGCGCGUGCGCAGUAUAUUUCUACUGUGUUUCUGGGCGGUGUUCUCGGAAGCCGAGAGGGACAAAGCGAGCAGGCGGUGGAAGAAAGGAAGAAGCCUUCGGAAGCUGUUCAACAUCAGAGCUCUCUUAACUUCUUGAGAAUUCCCUUCUUUAUGAGUUUGGGUGGGACAACAGAGCUCAUUAUAUCAGGAAAAUGAUACAGUUGCUGCAUCCAUAUCUGUGGCUUACUCCAAAUGCAUCAAGGUGUGCCUCUCAUCAGUGUUCCAGCCAGAUGGGCCAUCUGGGACCAAACUCAUCUGUCUUAACCAAGGAUGCUGUUGUAGAAUAAGCAAGACCCUUCUGAACAAUACAGUAUCACCACCAACAGUCUGUGAGGAAUUCUAAGAUGAAAUGGGACUUAAAGCCAUACCUGAAUGAAGCAAGGAACGCCCCUUGGCAAACAGGAUGAAAGGCAAGUGUUGGAGGUGAAGAAAGCUGGGCUGUCAAUAUAAAUCAAAAAAAGCCCUUUGUAUGUUUUAUCCU